UACGUAGGGUCCAAGCGUUAUCCGGAAUCACUGGCCGUAAAGCGUGCGUAGGUGGAUUGUUAAGUGCGAUGCGAAAUCCUGUGGCUCAACCAUAUGGACUGUAUCGCAUACUGGCUAUCUAGAGGACAUGAGAGGCAAGUGGAAUUACUGGUGUAGCAGUGAAAUGCGUAGAGAUCAGUAGGAACACCAAUGGCGAAGGCAGCUUGCUGGCAUGUAUCUGACGCUAAGGCACGAAAGCGUGGGGAGCGAACAGG
RNAcentral lists this ribosomal RNA (254 nucleotides) under uncultured bacterium. Its description in RNAcentral is "partial 16S ribosomal RNA". It matches the Rfam family "Bacterial small subunit ribosomal RNA", at positions 524 to 776 of the family's 1533-position model. The record is from RNAcentral.